AACGGUAAAAGGGCCUUCGAAACUGGAUUUCUUGAGUUCGGAAGAGGUUGGUGGAAUUCGUGGUGUAGCGGUGAAAUGCAUAGAUAUCACGAAGAACACCGGUGGCGAAGGCGGCCAACUGGUCCGAUACUGACGCUGAGACACGAGAGCGUGGGGAGCGAACAGGAUUAGAUACCCUGGUAGUCCACGCUGUAAACGAUGCAUGCUGGUUGUUGUCCCUUCGGGGGCAGUGACGCAGUUAACGCAGUAAGCAUGCCACCUGGGGAGUACGUUCGCAAGAAUGAAACUCAAAGGAAUUGACGGGGGCCCGCACAAGCGGUGGAGCAUGUGGCUUAAUUCGAUGCAACGCGAAGAACCUUACCUAAACUAAAUCUACGGUGACCGCUCCUGAAAGGGAGCUUCCCUUCGGGGCACCAUAGAAGGUGCUGCAUGGCUGCCGUCAGCUCGUGCCGUGAGGUGUUGGGUUAAGUCCCGCAACGAGCGCAACCCCUGUGGUUAGUUACCAGCACGUAAUGGUGGGGACUCUAGCCAGACUGCCUACGCAAGUAGUGAGGAAGGUGGGGACGACGUCAAGUCAUCAUGGCCCUUACGUCUAGGGCUGCACACGUGCUACAAUGGACGGUUCAAUGGGAAGCGAGCCCGCGAGGGUCAGCAGAUCCCCAACACCGUUCCCAGUUCGGAUUGGAGUCUGCAACUCGACUCCAUGAAGUCGGAAUCGCUAGUA
This 724-nucleotide ribosomal RNA is filed under the name uncultured Bacteroidota bacterium. RNAcentral describes it as "bacterial SSU rRNA". It matches the Rfam family "Bacterial small subunit ribosomal RNA", at positions 611 to 1340 of the family's 1533-position model. The record is from RNAcentral. Lineage: Bacteria; Pseudomonadati; Bacteroidota.